AGCGCAGGCGGACCGGUAAGUUGGAAGUGAAAACUAUGGGCUCAACCCAUAAAUUGCUUUCAAAACUGCUGGCCUUGAGUAGUGCAGAGGUAGGUGGAAUUCCCGGUGUAGCGGUGGAAUGCGUAGAUAUCGGGAGGAACACCAGUGGCGAAGGCGACCUACUGGGCACCAACUGACGCUGAGGCUCGAAAGCAUGGGUAGCAAACA
Molecule: ribosomal RNA, 207 nt
Filed under: uncultured bacterium
Lineage: Bacteria
Description: partial 16S ribosomal RNA
Rfam family: Bacterial small subunit ribosomal RNA
Source: RNAcentral